This 1340-nucleotide long non-coding RNA is filed under the name Macaca fascicularis (crab-eating macaque). RNAcentral's name for it is "lncRNA (ENSMFAG00000064642.1)". The record is from RNAcentral. Lineage: Eukaryota; Metazoa; Chordata; Mammalia; Primates; Cercopithecidae.
GGGAGGUGUGACCCGUGGCGAAGGGCACCAGCUGCUCUGCUGGGAGGCCCCUCCUUGCCCUUUGCUACCGACAGGGCUCGAGAUCAAGGAGGAAAGUAUCAGAAGGGAAAGGCAAAAGGCAGGCAAAGCUGUCCGGCUCCUCCUGGCUGGUGGGGAAUGAUGCACUGAGUUCUGAGAUCAAGGGCUUCACUAGGGAUCAGGCCAGGCAUGGAGGAUCAAGGUCCUCAGAGCUGGAUUCAAGGAGGAGGGAAAGAGGAGGGAAGCCCCGGCUGACAGGUACAGGGACUGGGGUUCAGAGGCCAGCUGUCCGGUUCCACGAGGAACACGAGAUGUGUGCACUCAUGCAUGUGUACACACAAAAAGGGGAAUUCGUCCAAGUCCAACUCACUCACAAAUACCCUCUGCAAUGUCAGAACAAUAACUGAGGCAUGACCUCACAUCAAGAGCUCAAGGUAGGAGGGACCGAUCCUUCCCUAGGGGAUGGAGGAGCCAUGGACCAGGGAGGUCAGAAGAGGAGGGAGCACGCGAGCUACUUGUGGAUGUGGUGGGGGGCCUGGAGGGUCCCCACACCAGGGCAGAGAGCUCCAGGCUGAAGGACGGCACAAGCAAAGGCAUGGGGCUGACAGGGCUGAGUCAGGUGGGUGAGAGGGGACCUGGCUCUGAAGCCCAAGCAGAGCUUCUCAGAUCUCAGGGACCUUCUUGACUCAGCAGGUUUGGGGGCCUGAGCCUCUGCAUUUCUAACAAGCUCUCAGGUGAUGCUGAUGCACUGGUCCAGGGACCACACUUUGAGCUGCAAGGGUGUGGGCUGAGAUGUCAGACUGAGUUUGAACUUGGAUCUGUCCCCUAUUGUCUGUGCUAGUGGGCAAGUGAUGAGCUCCUCCCCCUGCCUGAUUUCCCUCACUUAUAAUAUGGGGAUAAUCGUCAUAAUAAUGCCGCCUUCAAGGGGGUGAUUGUGAGGACGAAGAGGCAAAUACGGUUGACCUUUGAACAACAGGGGGGUUAGGGGACACUGCCCCCCCACCAUGGAGUUGAAUAUCCAUGUAAAGGCCGGUGCAGUGGCUCACACCUGUAAUCCCAGCACUUUGGAUGGCCAAGGUGAGAGGAUCACUUGAGCCCAGGAGUUGAAGGCCAGCCUGGGCAACACAGGAAGACCUGUCUCUACAAACAUUAGAAUAAAACCACUCUGGUAUGGUGGCCUGCGCCUGGAGUUCCAGCUUCUCAGGAGGUCGAGGUGAGAGAAUUGCUUGAGCCUGGGAGGUUGAGGCUACAGGGGGCCAUGAUUAUGCUACUGCACUACAGCCUAGGUGACAGAGGGAGACCCUGUCUCAAAAAAAAAAAAA